This is a long non-coding RNA of Perca fluviatilis (European perch), 396 nucleotides long. RefSeq lists it as uncharacterized. The transcript has 4 exons. The record is from RefSeq and is a predicted model, not a curated record. NCBI's taxonomy places the organism in Eukaryota, Metazoa, Chordata, Actinopteri, Perciformes, Percidae.
UGCAGCUCUUGAUGAACAGAAGUAAGAUGAACAGAACGAUGGCGAGGAUGAAGGCCAGGACAUCCAGGCUGUGAUACUGGUACCAGCACCUCCGGAAGCAGAAUGUGCAGGUCUUGAUGAAGAGAAGUAAGAUGAACAGAACGAUGGCGAGGAUGAAGGCCAGGACAUCCAGGCUGUGAUACUGAUACCAGCACAUGGAGAAGCAGAAUGUGCAGGUCUUGAUGAAGAGAAGUAAGAUGAACAGAAUAAUGAUGAGGAGAAGGGCCAAGACAUCCAGGCUGUGAUACUGGUACCAGGCCUCGGAGCUGUCGCAGCUGGAUCCAGGCGAAGGGACUUCAGUGUCACUGGUCAGGGCCCACGGGUGUGGAGGGGAGUGCAGCUGCUCCAUGUUUCCUC